This 270-nucleotide long non-coding RNA is filed under the name Sorghum bicolor (sorghum). RNAcentral describes it as "long non-coding RNA (SBIC_LNC001659)". The record is from RNAcentral. Lineage: Eukaryota; Viridiplantae; Streptophyta; Magnoliopsida; Poales; Poaceae.
GAGCGUUUUUGAGGGUGGUUUUAAUUUUUUUUUAUUUAUUUUCAUUGAAUCUUUGAAAAAUCAAAAUAAGUCAUAGAAAAAUCAUAAAAGGAAAAAUCUAAGCUUGUUGGACUUAACAUGAGUAGAUUUGCACAGUGAACAUGUAAUAUGGUAUGCUUUAGUAUAAAGUUUUUGCUACAAAUUUUAAAUCUAUGUUUUUUCUAUAAAUAAUUAGAAUAAUUCAUAUAUGCAGUUUCUAUGGUCUAAUUAUGGUGAUUUUUUAAUGGGCUA